RNAcentral lists this unclassified non-coding RNA (334 nucleotides) under soil metagenome. Its description in RNAcentral is "partial contains 5.8S ribosomal RNA, internal transcribed spacer 2, and large subunit ribosomal RNA". The stretch from base 1 to 120 matches the Rfam family "5.8S ribosomal RNA", at positions 35 to 154 of the family's 154-position model. The record is from RNAcentral.
GAUGAAGAACGUAGCGAAAUGCGAUAAGUAAUGUGAAUUGCAGAAUUCAGUGAAUCAUCGAAUCUUUGAUCGCACAUUGCGCCCGCCAGUAUUCUGGCGGGCAUGCCUGUUCGAGCGUCAUUUCAACCAUCAAGCCCCCGGCUUGUGUUGGGGACCUGCGGCUGCCGCAGGCCCUGAAAUGCAGUGGCGGGCUCGCUGUCACUCCGAGCGUAGUAGUUACAUCUCGCUCUGGGCGUGCUGCGGGUUCCGGCCGUUAAAAGCCUUAUUUACCCAAGGUUGACCUCGGAUCAGGUAGGAAGACCCGCUGAACUUAAGCAUAUCAAUAAGCGGAGGA